ACGCCCCCUUUGGCAGCAGCUCCUAGGCGGGGGGGGGAGGGAGACGGAGGUCAGAGGGUCUCUGCGCACUGCUGCCCACAGGCACCACCCCUGCAGCUCCCAUUGGCCGCAGAUCCUGUCCAAUGGAAGCUGUGGAGUUGGCGCUCGGGGCGGGGGCAAUGAAUGGAGACUCCACUCCCCAGGGGCUGCAGGGACAUGCCAGCUGCUUCUGGGAGCGAAGCGGCGUGGAAGAAGGGAGGCAGAGUGGGCAGGGACCCGCCUUAGCCCUGCUGCGCUGCUCGCACGUCACUGCACACCCCUUGGGGGGAAAGGGGCAGCGGGUCUCUGUGUGCUGCCCGGGGUUGGGGAAGCACGCAGAGCCACCUCCCCCGACCUGCCAGGGGCACACAGAGACGUGCCAGCAACCGGCCGUUUCAAGGAGUGGCAUGGGGCCACUGGCCACGGCAUGCAGGCAGCUAGCCUUCCUGAGUCCUGCUUCACCGCUGGCCGGGACUCGGGAGCAGGUUGUCAGAUAUUUGUCCUGCAUUUUGGGAGCCCUCCUGUCAUUUGGGGCCCUCUGCUACCACAUGGGUUGUUUCAUGAUUAAUCCGCUCCUGGGAAAAGGUAAGGUUUGAGACUAAACUUUAUUUAGCCUAAGAUUUUUUUUAUUUCAUUUUUUGAAGUUAGAUAGAGCUUUGCCUGCCUUUGUGUUGAAAUAGUGACUAGCACAAUGUGCCCCAAUCCUGAGUGGGAAUUCUGGCGACAGUGUAAUAUAUUUCAUGACAAUAUAGCGUGUCUGAGAAGUUGGCAUUAUAAAUUAUAGACACUGUCAAUUUCUGCUUACUCGUAGCACUUAAAAUUUGUGAGUGUAUGUAUAAAAUUGCCUGAAUGUUAACCUUUACAAUCCGAUUGGUUAUUUUGCUCACGUGACUGACAUAAAAUGGGGCUAUUGUCAUAAGAGGGAAACAAGAUCUUGUUGGGCUGCACCAUGGAUUUCCAACAUCAAUUCUUACUCCACAAACCUACCAACAUGGCAACCUGUUCUUUGCAAGCUCUGGCUAACAACAGUUUGUCUCCUGCCCUCCUACCCCACAAUUGUCCAAACACAAUAUUUUCCCAUCUUACUUUCUAUGUACAAUUCAUAAACAUCUGCCAGUAUUUACUAUUAGUAUGAAGUGGUUGCGACUCCAUAAUUAAGUUUUAAUUCCAUAGUGAAGAAAUAACACAUCUCUGAUUGAGUGUUGUGGUGUGGCUGGCUCUAUGGAACCCUAAGGUUUAAUUCCAGCUGAAGUUCUCUAUAGGUCUCCAGGAAUUCUUCAAUGACUCUAAUUCAAAUGGACAAUACCAGGAAUCUACUGUUGGGAGACUCCCUCCAAGCCGUUCUGGAGAAAUGUGUAAACCAGUUUUCAGGAGCUCUGCUGGAAAACUCAGAUCUUGGUGAAGGAACUCUUGAACAAAGGAACCUUGAAAUGGGAAAAAGAAUGCCUGCGAACUGAGGAGAUACACAUUGAUUGGAGGGCCAGAGCAGCAGAGGGGCAGAAGCUGUAGGGGUAAAUCCUGUCUCAUUCAACCCCAGUGCUGGGGCUCCCUGGGUAAUGUGGAACCUACUUAAACUGGCAAGGAAAGGCUAAGUUGAGGCUACCACUAGGGUCUGGACAACAGCUCAGGUAACUCAAGUAACACCAUUGUGACAUCAGAGAUAAUUGAACCAGUCACCUCUACAGCUUCAAGCCAUUGGAUCUUGUUGUGCCUCUGCUUUCUAGAUGAAAGAGCUCUUUAUCAUCAGAAAUCUUCUCCUCAAGUAGGUACUUGCAGAUGGUGAUCAAGUUACUUCUCAACCUUUUGUUUAUUAAGCUAAGUAGAUUGUGCUUCUUUAGUCUCUCACUGUAAGGCAAGUUUUCCAGUGCCCAACUCAUUCUUUUUUGAACUCUUCCAGUUUAUUGAUGUAUACCAGAGGGGUCUGAAUGAGUUUCCACCUGCCAUCUAUUGAUGAACUGGGGAAAAAGACUUCAGGAGCAAACCAUAUUUACACAGACACACCUACAUUGCCUAAGAGAUCAGCAAACAGACCUGGUUGGCCAAAGUGAUUAAUUGUGGCUGUUUUGGGCAAAGGGGUGAUGAAAUGUGGUUAUCCUUAUUGUAGGACUAGAAGGCAGCAGAAUUGUACUUACUAUGCUUACUUAGUAACUGAUGCCAACUCCAAGUGAAAGUCAAAGUCGGGGGUUGGGGGUAGGACACACAGGUGUUCCUACUUGCUGGGGCAGACUCUGUUUAAAAGAUCUUAGAUACCAUUUGAUUCUUCCCUUCCAAUGUCUAAACACAGAUCGAGUUAGACUCAGUUAGGAGUCUGUGUUUCUUCUCAAUGAUCACUAGAGCUGAAAAGGUAAUAAACUGGUUUAGGGGCCUUAGACUUAGACCGGGUACAAGGACAGUGUUGCAAUGAAAGACAGCACAAAAGAGACAGCAGCAGUGAGAUUCCCCACUACGCAGUGAAACCACUAAUAGCUGAAAUCACUAAGGACUAGGCUAGGUGGUAGAACCUCAGAGUAUGCAGUUAACAGCUGCUUCUGGAGAGGCAGUGUUGUCACUGACAUCUCACACCUCUUCAGGGCUGGGGGUGAACCCAACUGAACUUUGCUGACCUCAGACAACAAAUUGAGUGUGCUGCAGUGGAGAGAAAAGGAGAGUGACAUGUUAAAGGGACACUAAUAAAUCAUAAGUGAUCAUCAAUGAUCUGGAAAAAGGGCUAAACAGUGAGCUGGCAAAGUUUGCAGUUGAUACAAAAUUACUCAAGAUAGUUAAACCCAAAGCUGACUGUGAAGAGUUACAAAGGGUUCUCACAAAAUUCAGUGACUGGAGAACAAAAUGGCAGAUGAAAUCCAAUGUUGAUAAUUGCAAAGUAAUCCACAUUAGAAAACAUCAUCCUGACUACAUAUAGAAAAUGACAGGAUCUACACUCAACAAAGAGAUCUUGGAGUCAUUAUGAAUAGGUCUCUGAGAACAUUUGCUCAAUGUGAACUGGCAGUUAAAGAAGCUAAAAAUGUUAGGAACCAUUAGGAAAGGGAUAGAUGAUAUGACAGAAAGCAUCAUAAUGCCGCUAUGUAAAUCCAUAGUAUGCCCACACCUUGAAUACUGCAUUCAGU
Gopherus evgoodei (Goodes thornscrub tortoise) is the source of this 3122-nucleotide long non-coding RNA. RefSeq lists it as uncharacterized. The record is from RefSeq and is a predicted model, not a curated record. NCBI's taxonomy places the organism in Eukaryota, Metazoa, Chordata, Testudines, Testudinidae. The transcript is spliced from 3 exons.